CCGAACCGACAGGGGAGCGCGGAAGCGCUGAGAGUGCGGCACCGGGCCGCAGACCCUUAGACACCUGAUCCGGAUCAUGCCGGCGAAGGAAGUCGUGAGAACCCGCCA
Molecule: non-coding RNA, 108 nt
Filed under: Nocardiopsis alba
Lineage: Bacteria; Bacillati; Actinomycetota; Actinomycetes; Streptosporangiales; Nocardiopsidaceae
Description: TPP sequence
Rfam family: TPP riboswitch aptamer (THI element)
About the family: Vitamin B(1) in its active form thiamin pyrophosphate (TPP) is an essential coenzyme that is synthesised by coupling of pyrimidine and thiazole moieties in bacteria. The previously detected thiamin-regulatory element, thi box was extended, resulting in a new, highly conserved RNA secondary structure, the THI element, which is widely distributed in eubacteria and also occurs in some archaea. Analysis of operon structures identified a large number of new candidate thiamin-regulated genes, mostly transporters, in various prokaryotic organisms.
Source: RNAcentral